This 1330-nucleotide ribosomal RNA is filed under the name Enterococcus hirae. RNAcentral's name for it is "partial 16S ribosomal RNA". It matches the Rfam family "Bacterial small subunit ribosomal RNA", at positions 207 to 1525 of the family's 1533-position model. The record is from RNAcentral. Lineage: Bacteria; Bacillati; Bacillota; Bacilli; Lactobacillales; Enterococcaceae.
GCGCUUUCGGGUGUCGCUGAUGGAUGGACCCGCGGUGCAUUAGCUAGUUGGUGAGGUAACGGCUCACCAAGGCGACGAUGCAUAGCCGACCUGAGAGGGUGAUCGGCCACAUUGGGACUGAGACACGGCCCAAACUCCUACGGGAGGCAGCAGUAGGGAAUCUUCGGCAAUGGACGAAAGUCUGACCGAGCAACGCCGCGUGAGUGAAGAAGGUUUUCGGAUCGUAAAACUCUGUUGUUAGAGAAGAACAAGGAUGAGAGUAACUGUUCAUCCCUUGACGGUAUCUAACCAGAAAGCCACGGCUAACUACGUGCCAGCAGCCGCGGUAAUACGUAGGUGGCAAGCGUUGUCCGGAUUUAUUGGGCGUAAAGCGAGCGCAGGCGGUUUCUUAAGUCUGAUGUGAAAGCCCCCGGCUCAACCGGGGAGGGUCAUUGGAAACUGGGAGACUUGAGUGCAGAAGAGGAGAGUGGAAUUCCAUGUGUAGCGGUGAAAUGCGUAGAUAUAUGGAGGAACACCAGUGGCGAAGGCGGCUCUCUGGUCUGUAACUGACGCUGAGGCUCGAAAGCGUGGGGAGCAAACAGGAUUAGAUACCCUGGUAGUCCACGCCGUAAACGAUGAGUGCUAAGUGUUGGAGGGUUUCCGCCCUUCAGUGCUGCAGCUAACGCAUUAAGCACUCCGCCUGGGGAGUACGACCGCAAGGUUGAAACUCAAAGGAAUUGACGGGGGCCCGCACAAGCGGUGGAGCAUGUGGUUUAAUUCGAAGCAACGCGAAGAACCUUACCAGGUCUUGACAUCCUUUGACCACUCUAGAGAUAGAGCUUCCCCUUCGGGGGCAAAGUGACAGGUGGUGCAUGGUUGUCGUCAGCUCGUGUCGUGAGAUGUUGGGUUAAGUCCCGCAACGAGCGCAACCCUUAUUGUUAGUUGCCAUCAUUUAGUUGGGCACUCUAGCAAGACUGCCGGUGACAAACCGGAGGAAGGUGGGGAUGACGUCAAAUCAUCAUGCCCCUUAUGACCUGGGCUACACACGUGCUACAAUGGGAAGUACAACGAGUCGCAAAGUCGCGAGGCUAAGCUAAUCUCUUAAAGCUUCUCUCAGUUCGGAUUGUAGGCUGCAACUCGCCUACAUGAAGCCGGAAUCGCUAGUAAUCGCGGAUCAGCACGCCGCGGUGAAUACGUUCCCGGGCCUUGUACACACCGCCCGUCACACCACGAGAGUUUGUAACACCCGAAGUCGGUGAGGUAACCUUUUGGAGCCAGCCGCCUAAGGUGGGAUAGAUGAUUGGGGUGAAGUCGUAACAAGGUAGCCGUAUCGGAAGGUGCGGCUGGAUCA